AAAAUCCGGAGAUCUUAGAUGAGAGGUGAUAACGAGGAAGCUUGCUUCCGAAGUGAGUGAUACCCUGCUUCCAGGAAAAGCCACUAAGCUUCAGCUGCACACGACCGUACCGCAAACCGACACUGGUGCGCGAGAUGAGUAUUCUAAGGCGCUUGAGAGAACUCUGGAGAAGGAACUCGGCAAAUUAACACCGUAACUUCGGAAGAAGGUGUGCCUUUAGUAGGUGAACCUGUACAAGGGGAGCCCAAUGAGGUUGCAAGAAAUCGGUGGCUGCGACUGUUUAUUAAAAACACAGCACUCUGCAAAGACGAAAGUCGACGUAUAGGGUGUGACGCCUGCCCGGUGCUGGAAGAUUAAAUGAUGGGGUGCAAGCUCUUGAUUGAAGUCCCAGUAAACGGCGGCCGUAACAAUAACGGUCCUAAGGUAGCGAAAUUCCUUGUCGGGUAAGUUCCGACCUGCACGAAUGGCGUAACGAUGGCCACACUGUCUCCUCCAGAGACUCAGCGAAGUUGAAAUGUUUGUGAUGAUGCAAUCUCCCCGCGGAAAGACGGAAAGACCCCAUGAACCUUUACUGUAGCUUUACAUUGGACUUUGAACAGAUCUGUGUAGGAUAGGUGGGAGGCUUGAAGCGGUGCCGCUAGGUGUCGUGGAGCCAACGUUGAAAUACCACCCUGGUGUGUUUGAGGUUCUAACCUUGGCCCGUUAUCCGGGUUGGGGACAGUGUAUGGUAGGCAGUUUGACUGGGGCGGUCUCCUCCCAAAGCGUAACGGAGGAGUUCGAAGGUACGCUAGGCACGGUCGGAAAUCGUGCUAAUAGUGCAUAGGCAUAAGCGUGCUUGACUGCGAGACUGACAAGUCGAGCAGGUACGAAAGUAGGACUAAGUGAUCCGGUGGUUCUGUAUGGAAGGGCCAUCGCUCAACGGAUAAAAGGUACUCUGGGGAUAACAGGCUGAUACCGCCCAAGAGUUCAUAUCGACGGCGGUGUUUGGCACCUCGAUGUCGGCUCAUCUCAUCCUGGGGCUGUAGCCGGUCCCAAGGGUAUGGCUGUUCGCCAUUUAAAGAGGUACGUGAGCUGGGUUUAAAACGUCGUGAGACAGUUUGGUCCCUAUCUUCCGUGGGCGCUGCAAGAUUGAGAGAGCCUGCUCCUAGUACGAGAGGACCGGAGUGGACGCACCUCUGGUGUAUCGGUUGUCACGCCAGUGGCAUAGCCGAGUAGCUAAGUGCGGAAGAGAUAACCGCUGAAAGCAUCUAAGCGGGAAACUCGUCUCAAGAUGAGUCUUGCCGGGGCCUUGAGCCCCCUGAAGAGUCGUCCAAGACCAGGACGUUGAUAGGCCAGGUGUGGAAGCGCAGUAAUGCGUUGAGCUAACUGGUACUAAUUGCUCGUGCGGCUUGACCCU
This 1396-nucleotide ribosomal RNA is filed under the name metagenome. RNAcentral's name for it is "bacterial LSU rRNA". It matches the Rfam family "Bacterial large subunit ribosomal RNA", at positions 1537 to 2925 of the family's 2925-position model. The record is from RNAcentral.